GACGAACGCUAGCGGCGUGCCUAAUACAUGCAAGUUGAGCGCUGAAGGUUGGUACUUGUACCGACUGGAUGAGCAGCGAACGGGUGAGUAACGCGUGGGGAAUCUGCCUUUGAGCGGGGGACAACAUUUGGAAACGAAUGCUAAUACCGCAUAAAAACUUUAAACACAAGUUUUAAGUUUGAAAGAUGCAAUUGCAUCACUCAAAGAUGAUCCCGCGUUGUAUUAGCUAGUUGGUGAGGUAAAGGCUCACCAAGGCGAUGAUACAUAGCCGACCUGAGAGGGUGAUCGGCCACAUUGGGACUGAGACACGGCCCAAACUCCUACGGGAGGCAGCAGUAGGGAAUCUUCGGCAAUGGACGAAAGUCUGACCGAGCAACGCCGCGUGAGUGAAGAAGGUUUUCGGAUCGUAAAACUCUGUUGGUAGAGAAGAACGUUGGUGAGAGUGGAAAGCUCAUCAAGUGACGGUAACUACCCAGAAAGGGACGGCUAACUACGUG
Molecule: ribosomal RNA, 497 nt
Filed under: uncultured bacterium
Lineage: Bacteria
Description: partial 16S ribosomal RNA
Rfam family: Bacterial small subunit ribosomal RNA
Source: RNAcentral